AUUGAACGCUGGCGGCAGGCCUAACACAUGCAAGUCGAGCGGAUGAAGGGAGCUUGCUCCUGGAUUCAGCGGCGGACGGGUGAGUAAUGCCUAGGAAUCUGCCUGGUAGUGGGGGAUAACGUCCGGAAACGGGCGCUAAUACCGCAUACGUCCUGAGGGAGAAAGUGGGGGAUCUUCGGACCUCGCGCUAUCAGAUGAGCCUAGGUCGGAUUAGCUAGUUGGUGGGGUAAAGGCCUACCAAGGCGACGUUCCGUAACUGGUCUGAGAGGAUGAUCAGUCACACUGGAACUGAGACACGGUCCAGACUCCUACGGGAGGCAGCAGUGGGGAAUAUUGGACAAUGGGCGAAAGCCUGAUCCAGCAAUGCCGCGUGUGUGAAGAAGGUCUUCGGAUUGUAAAGCACUUUAAGUUGGGAGGAAGGGCAGUAAGUUAAUACCUUGCUGUGUUGACGUUACCAACAGAAUAAGCACCGGCUAACUUCGUG
This 484-nucleotide ribosomal RNA is filed under the name uncultured bacterium. RNAcentral describes it as "partial 16S ribosomal RNA". It matches the Rfam family "Bacterial small subunit ribosomal RNA", at positions 30 to 507 of the family's 1533-position model. The record is from RNAcentral.